Molecule: long non-coding RNA, 1014 nt
Filed under: Homo sapiens (human)
Lineage: Eukaryota; Metazoa; Chordata; Mammalia; Primates; Hominidae
Description: long intergenic non-protein coding RNA 1584
Source: RNAcentral
GUAACUCCUAGUUGAGUGUGAAGACCUGAGGUAUCAGGGGUAGGGGUUGCUCUGCUUGUGUAAGUCCCAUAGUGUGAAGGCCAGAGAACCAAGAGAUGGUCAAGAAGAGAGAGUAAGUGUCCAAUGUCCCAGCUCAAGAAGAGAGAAAACUUUUGUGGAUAGCUAAGUUACUGCUAGCCAUCUGAUUAUAGCAAUGGCUUCCAGGAGCAUCACGACCUGUGCAGACUCCCCAGCAUCAUAACAGGAAGGUCCCACGAUCACGAGCACAUUGCCUUCAGCAUCCAGCACUGAAUAUGGUGAAUUGCACUCUGAAGAGCUUCCUAAGCUUGUAAGAAAGUGAUUCUGAAAAGCUCAACAUUUUGGUAGAAUGGAGAGAUUUGACAUUGCUUCUGCUCCAAAAGCAAAAGACUUGGGCCUGGCGUAAAGGAGAUGGGACUCACACCCAAGAGGAUGCAUUUCCAUACACCCAUUUCUGAAAUAUGAAGAGGUGUCCAGUCUGUUUGAUUCAUAGCUGCCUGUUCCACAACUGCAGAUACAGUAAUUGAUAACCGAGACCAAGUUCUCAUCCCCAUCUCCCAGGGCUGGAACUGGGGCUGUGUUUGGUUCUCAUAAGAUCAGUUCCAGUUUUAGAAACUGAGUAAAUUGUGGAGUAAAUAUUGCCAAGUGAUGGCUUUCUGCUGUAGGCGUGGGUCGCUGUUGGCCAUUUGCCUCAGCAUAUCACCAGCAAUGCACCUCAUUGCAUCACUGCAUUUCCAAUUACACCUCAAAGCACCACUGGUCCCCUGUCCACCCUCUGCCCUGCAGAGGUGGGUGUUCAGGGAGACAGAUCCAAAAUCUGGGCUCAGAAGAUGGAAAUGCCAACUGCUCUCAAUUUGAGAGUGGGGAUGAGACUUUUUGACUCAACUCUGGUUAAUUCAGCCAUGCUGUCAGAGCUGCUUUGAUGCAAGGACAUCUGAAUGCUAUCUGAAUGCUGCCCCUAAAAUAACAAAUUAAAAACAACAACAACAACAAAAA